This 285-nucleotide ribosomal RNA is filed under the name Escherichia coli. Its description in RNAcentral is "partial 16S ribosomal RNA". It matches the Rfam family "Bacterial small subunit ribosomal RNA", at positions 1 to 282 of the family's 1533-position model. Lineage: Bacteria; Pseudomonadati; Pseudomonadota; Gammaproteobacteria; Enterobacterales; Enterobacteriaceae. The record is from RNAcentral. RNAcentral also lists the same sequence under 1 other name.
AAAUUGAAGAGUUUGAUCAUGGCUCAGAUUGAACGCUGGCGGCAGGCCUAACACAUGCAAGUCGAACGGUAACAGGAAGAAGCUUGCUUCUUUGCUGACGAGUGGCGGACGGGUGAGUAAUGUCUGGGAAACUGCCUGAUGGAGGGGGAUAACUACUGGAAACGGUAGCUAAUACCGCAUAACGUCGCAAGACCAAAGAGGGGGACCUUCGGGCCUCUUGCCAUCGGAUGUGCCCAGAUGGGAUUAGCUAGUAGGUGGGGUAACGGCUCACCUAGGCGACGAUCC